AUACGGGGGGUGCAAGCGUUAUUCGGAUUUAUUGGGCGUAAAGAGCGCGUAGGCGGCUUGGUAAGUCAGAUGUGAAAGCCCGGGGCUUAACCCCGGAAGUGCAUUUGAAACUAUCAGGCUUGAGUAUGGGAGAGGGAAGUGGAAUUCCUGGUGUAGAGGUGAAAUUCGUAGAUAUCAGGAGGAACACCGGUGGCGAAGGCGACUUCCUGGACCAAUACUGACGCUGAGGCGCGAAGGCGUGGGGAGCAAACAGGAUUAGAAACCCCGGUAGUCC
This 274-nucleotide ribosomal RNA is filed under the name uncultured bacterium. RNAcentral describes it as "partial 16S ribosomal RNA". It matches the Rfam family "Bacterial small subunit ribosomal RNA", at positions 523 to 796 of the family's 1533-position model. The record is from RNAcentral.